GAUGAACGCUGGCGGCUUGCCUAAUACAUGCAAGUCGAGCGAACAGACGAGGCUCUUGCUCCUCUGACGUUAGCGGCGGACGGUUGAGUAACACGUGGAUAACCUACCUAUAAGACUGGGAUAACUUCGGGAAACCGGAGCUAAUACCGGAUAAUAUCUUGAACCGCAUGGUUCAAUAGUUCAAGACGGUUUUGCUGUCACUUAUAGAUGCAUCCGCACCUCAUUAGGUAGUUGGUAAGGUAACGGCUUACCAACGCAACGCUGCUUAGCCGACCUGCGAGGGAGAAGGGCCAGACUGGAACUGGGACAGGGUCCAGAAUCCAAAGGAAGGCAGCAGUAGGGAAUCAUCAGCAAUGGGAGAAAACCUGACAGAGGAACGCCGCGUGAGUGAUGAAGGUCUACGAAUCGUAAAACGCUGUUAUUAGGGAAGAACAAAUGUGUAAGUAACUAUGCACGUCUUGACGGUACCUAAUCAGAAAGACACGGCGAAAUACGUG
RNAcentral lists this ribosomal RNA (497 nucleotides) under uncultured bacterium. Its description in RNAcentral is "partial 16S ribosomal RNA". It matches the Rfam family "Bacterial small subunit ribosomal RNA", at positions 28 to 507 of the family's 1533-position model. The record is from RNAcentral.